GAAGUAAAAAUCGUAACAAGGUCUCCGUUGGUGAACCAGCGGAGGGAUCAUUACCGAGUUUACAACUCCCAAACCCCUGUGAACAUACCACUUGUUGCCUCGGCGGAUCAGCCCGCUCCCGGUAAAAUGGGACGGCCCGCCAGAGGACCCCUAAACUCUGUUUCUAUAUGUAACUUCUGAGUAAAACCAUAAAUAAAUCAAAACUUUCAACAACGGAUCUCUUGGUUCUGGCAUCGAUGAAGAACGCAGCAAAAUGCGAUAAGUAAUGUGAAUUGCAGAAUUCAGUGAAUCAUCGAAUCUUUGAACGCACAUUGCGCCCGCCAGUAUUCUGGCGGGCAUGCCUGUUCGAGCGUCAUUUCAACCCUCAAGCACAGCUUGGUGUUGGGACUCGCGUUAAUUCGCGUUCCUCAAAUUGAUUGGCGGUCACGUCGAGCUUCCAUAGCGUAGUAGUAAAACCCUCGUUACUGGUAAUCGUCGCGGCCACGCCGUUAAACCCCAACUUCUGAAUGUUGACCUCGGAUCAGGUAGGAAUACCCGCUGAACUUAAGCAUAUCAUA
RNAcentral lists this ribosomal RNA (557 nucleotides) under Fusarium oxysporum. RNAcentral describes it as "eukaryotic LSU rRNA". The stretch from base 202 to 355 matches the Rfam family "5.8S ribosomal RNA". The record is from RNAcentral. Lineage: Eukaryota; Fungi; Ascomycota; Sordariomycetes; Hypocreales; Nectriaceae.